Molecule: long non-coding RNA, 462 nt
Organism: Gigantopelta aegis
Lineage: Eukaryota; Metazoa; Mollusca; Gastropoda; Neomphalida; Peltospiridae
Exons: 3
Source: RefSeq, a predicted model, not a curated record
UACAUCCACUGUGAACGUAAGAGGAAAUAACCAUAGAAACCUGAUAGAUUAACCACACGAUCAUAGCGUAAUGUCCGGAAUCAUCUGAAUAAAAAGACAAUAACUGUGAGCAGGUGUUCAAACUGCAUUCUAGAAUUGGUCGAGGGAGUUACAGCAUCUUAUUGCAGCAAGCCCAACCAGUCCGGACGUACAGACUAACAGACAGGAGUUACAGCCGAAUUCUGAACAAUGAAUCUGACAGUUUUCUUCACUUCACUUGUGCUAUGCUCUCUUGUUCUGUUCGGCGUGACCGCCGCCAAAGGACGUGGUGGACGAUGUGGCCGUAAAGGAUAACGUGUGAACGAAAUCUCUAAUGCUUUGACGUAUUCCAUCCGUGGUAGGUACUGUUGUCAUGGUGACGUGACGUAAUGGAUCUGAAACCUUUGGAUGUCAUGUAUUGGUUGGAUGUGUCAGAGAAAUAAA